GAUGAAGAACGUAGCGAAAUGCGAUAAGUAAUGUGAAUUGCAGAAUUCAGUGAAUCAUCGAAUCUUUGAACGCACAUUGCGCCCGCCAGUAUUCUGGCGGGCAUGCCUGUUCGAGCGUCAUUUCAACCAUCAAGCCCCAGGCUUGUGUUGGGGACCUGCGGCUGCCGCAGGCCCUGAAAACCAGUGGCGGGCUCGCUGUCACACCGGGCGUAGUAGAUUUUAUCUCGCUCAGGGCGUGCUGCGGGUUCCGGCCGUUAAAAAGCCUUUUUUACCCAAGGUUGACCUCGGAUCAGGUAGGAAUACCCGCUGAACUUAAGGAUAUCAAUAAGCGGAGGA
This 336-nucleotide unclassified non-coding RNA is filed under the name soil metagenome. RNAcentral's name for it is "partial contains 5.8S ribosomal RNA, internal transcribed spacer 2, and large subunit ribosomal RNA". The stretch from base 1 to 120 matches the Rfam family "5.8S ribosomal RNA", at positions 35 to 154 of the family's 154-position model. The record is from RNAcentral.